AACCACCCUGGGAGGGCCUAUGAGC
This 25-nucleotide non-coding RNA is filed under the name Cricetulus griseus (Chinese hamster). Lineage: Eukaryota; Metazoa; Chordata; Mammalia; Rodentia; Cricetidae. The record is from RNAcentral.